RNAcentral lists this ribosomal RNA (380 nucleotides) under uncultured eukaryote. Its description in RNAcentral is "partial 18S ribosomal RNA". It matches the Rfam family "Eukaryotic small subunit ribosomal RNA", at positions 592 to 976 of the family's 1831-position model. The record is from RNAcentral.
CAAUAGCGUAUAUUAAAGUUGUUGCAGUUAAAAAGCUCGUAGUUGGAUUUGUGGCGUACGGUGUGUUCCGGGCACUUGUUGCCUGAGUAACCUGCUGUUGCCAUCCUUGGAUGGAACCUGUGUGGCAUUAGGUUGUCGUGCAGGGGAUGCCCAUCAUUUACUGUGAAAAAAUUAGAGUGUUCAAAGCAGGCUUAUGCCGUUGAAUAUAUUAGCAUGGAAUAAUGAGAUAGGACUUUUUUGCUAUUUUGUUGGUUUGCGCAAAGAGGUAAUGAUUAAUAGGGACAGUUGGGGGUAUUCGUAUUCCAUUGUCAGAGGUGAAAUUCUUGGAUUUUUGGAAGACGAACUACUGCGAAAGCAUUUACCAAGGAUGUUUUCAUUAA